GACGAACGCUGGCGGCGUGCCUAAUACAUGCAAGUUGAGCGCUGAAGGUUGGUACUUGUACCAACUGGAUGAGCAGCGAACGGGUGAGUACCGCGUGGGGAAUCUGCCUUUGAGCGGGGGACAACAUUUGGAAACGAAUGCUAAUACCGCAUAAAAACUUUAAACACAAGUUUUAAGUUUGAAAGAUGCAAUUGCAUCACUCAAAGAUGAUCCCGCGUUGUAUUAGCUAGUUGGUGAGGUAAAGGCUCACCAAGGCGAUGAUACAUAGCCGACCUGAGAGGGUGAUCGGCCACAUUGGGACUGAGACACGGCCCCAACUCCUACGGGAGGCAGCAGUAGGGAAUCUUCGGCAAUGGACGAAAGUCUGACCGAGCAACGCCGCGUGAGUGAAGAAGGUUUUCGGAUCGUAAAACUCUGUUGGUAGAGAAGAACGUUGGUGAGAGUGGAAAGCUCAUCAAGUGACGGUAACUACCCAGAAAGGGACGGCUAACUACGUG
RNAcentral lists this ribosomal RNA (497 nucleotides) under uncultured bacterium. RNAcentral describes it as "partial 16S ribosomal RNA". It matches the Rfam family "Bacterial small subunit ribosomal RNA", at positions 28 to 507 of the family's 1533-position model. The record is from RNAcentral.